UCCAAUCGAACUCGGAGAUAGCUGGUUCUCCCCGAAAUAGCUUUAGGGCUAGCGUUGCAUUAGAUUACCGGAGGUAGAGCACUGAAUUGGCUAGGGGGCGAUGAGCUUACUGAACCUUAUCAAACUUCGAAUGCCGGAUAAUUGAUGUGCAGCAGUCAGACAGUGUGAGAUAAGUUUCAUUGUCGAGAGGGAAACAGCCCAGACCCACAGCUAAGGUCCCAAAUAUAUGCUAAGUGGAAAACGAUGUGGGGUUGCGAAAACAACCAGGACGUUGGCUUAGAGGCAGCCACUCAUUGAAAGAGUGCGUAAUAGCUCACUGGUCGAGUGACCCUGCGCGGAAAAUAUAACGGGGCUAAGCAUAUAACCGAAGCUUGGGAUGUCUUUUGACAUGGUAGGGGAGCGUCGUGUACGGGGUGAAGUACGAGCGGAAGCACGUGUGGACUGUACACGAGUGAGAAUGCCGGAAUGAGUAGCGAGAAUUAUGUGGGAAUCAUAAUGGCCGAAAAUCUAAGGUUUCUUGGGGAAGGUUCGUCCGCCCAAGGUAAGUCGGGAGCUAAGGCGAGGCCGAGAGGCGUAGUCGAUGCACACACGGUUGAAAUUCCGUGACCACCGAAAGAUUUAAGCGAGCUGACACAUAGAGAUAACCGGACCCCGGCGUUGGUCGACCGGGGCGAAAGGGACCGAACAUCAGUAGGGAAGCCGGUGAUGCUCUGUGGCGAGAAAAGGCUCGAGGUACAUCUGAGGUGCCCGUACCGCAAACCGACACAGGUAGAUGAGGAGAGAAUCCUAAGGCCAGCGGGAGAAGGGUUGUUAAGGAACUCGGCAAAUUGACCCCGUAACUUCGGGAAAAGGGGAGCCUACUACGGUAGGCCGCAGAGAAUAGGCCCAAGCGACUGUUUACCAAAAACACAGGUCUCUGCUAAAUCGAAAGAUGACGUAUAGGGGCUGACGCCUGCCCGGUGCCGGAAGGUUAAGAGGAGGGCUUAGCGCAAGCGAAGGUCUGAAUUGAAGCCCCGGUAAACGGCGGCCGUAACUAUAACGGUCCUAAGGUAGCGAAAUUCCUUGUCAGGUAAGUUCUGACCCGCACGAAUGGCGUAACGAUUUGGGCACUGUCUCAACAGCCCGCCCGGCGAAAUUGUUGUACUGGUGAAGAAGCCAGUUACCCGCAACUAGACGGAAAGACCCCAUGGAGCUUUACUGUAGCUUAAUACUGAAGAUUGGUAAUGCAUGUACAGGAUAGGUGGGAGCCUGAGAAACCUGGGCGUCAGCUUAGGCGGAGGCAACCUUGGAAUACCACCCUUGUAUUGCUGGUUUUCUAACCUGCGGCCGUGAAUCCGGUCGGGGGACACUGUUAGGUGGGCAGUUUGACUGGGGCGGUCGCCUCCAAAAGAGUAACGGAGGCGCUCAAAGGUUCGUUCAGCACGGACGGAAAUCGUGCAAUGAGUGUAAACGCAUAAACGAGCCUAACUGCGAGACCGACGGGUCGAGCAGUAACGAAAGUUGGAGUUAGUGAUCCGGUGGUAUGUGAGUGGAAAUGCCAUCGCUCAACGGAUAAAAG
RNAcentral lists this ribosomal RNA (1558 nucleotides) under human gut metagenome. RNAcentral describes it as "bacterial LSU rRNA". It matches the Rfam family "Bacterial large subunit ribosomal RNA", at positions 828 to 2462 of the family's 2925-position model. The record is from RNAcentral.